Molecule: ribosomal RNA, 405 nt
Filed under: uncultured bacterium
Lineage: Bacteria
Description: bacterial SSU rRNA
Rfam family: Bacterial small subunit ribosomal RNA
Source: RNAcentral
UAGGGAAUCUUGCGCAAUGGGCGAAAGCCUGACGCAGCAACGCCGCGUGCGGGAUGACGGCCUUCGGGUUGUAAACCGCUUUCAGCAGGGACGAAAUUGACGGUACCUGCAGAAGAAGCACCGGCCAACUACGUGCCAGCAGCCGCGGUAACACGUAGGGUGCAAGCGUUGUCCGGAUUCAUUGGGCGUAAAGGGCUAGUAGGCGGCUUGGCAAGUCGGAUGUGAAAACUCCAGGCUCAACCUGGAGACGCCAUUCGAUACUGCCAUGGCUAGAGUCCGGUAGGGGAGCACGGAAUUCCUGGUGUAGCGGUGAAAUGCUUAGAUAUCAGGAGGAACACCGGUGGCGAAGGCGGUGCUCUGGGCCGGAACUGACGCUGAAUAGCGAAAGCGUGGGUAGCAAACAGG